RNAcentral lists this long non-coding RNA (4182 nucleotides) under Canis lupus familiaris (dog). The record is from RNAcentral. Lineage: Eukaryota; Metazoa; Chordata; Mammalia; Carnivora; Canidae.
UUUUUUUUUUUUUUUUGGUAGGAAUUAAUUCUAAGAUAUAUAUGAAAUCUAAAUAAGGAUUUAGAAUAUCCAAAACAAUUCUGAAAAAGAAGAUUAAAGCUUUAGGACUUAACUACCUAACUUCUAUCCUUACUGUAAAGCUACAAUAAUCAACACAGUGUGAUAUUGGCAAAAAGACAGACACACAGAUAAUGAAAUAGGAUGAACCCAGAACAACUCUCACAUUCAUGGUCAUCUGAAUUUCAACAACUGUGCCACUGCAAUUCAAUGGGGAAGGAAUGGUCUUUUUAACAUAUGAUGCUGGAACAUGUCAAUAAUCACAUGCAAAAAUAAAUAAGUAUAAAUGUUUCAGAAUUUACAAAAAAAAACUUAAAAUCAAUCAUAGCUGGAAUUAUAAAACUAAAACUUCAAAACUUCUACGAGGCAUAGGAAAAAAUCUUGUGACCCUAGAUUAGGUAAAGAAUUCUUAAAUAGGACAAUAAAGGAGCAAUCCAUUAAAAAACCAAAAAACGGAAAAAUUGGACUUCAUCAAAUUCUUCAAGUCAUAACUUAGAUAAAAGACAAGCCCCAGAAUAGAAGAAAAUAUUUACAAAUCAUAUACAUGAUAAAGAAAUAGUAUCUAACAUAUUAAAACCCUGAGACCUAAAGAAUAAGAAGAUAAAAUAAUUUUUUUAACAGGCUAAAGAUCUGAAGACAUUUCACCAAAGAUACAUGAUUAUUUAGUAAACAUACAAAAAGAUGCUCACCAUCUAUCCCUAAUAGAGAAAUCCAAAUAAAACCACAAUGAGAUUCCACUAUACAACUCACUAGACUACCUAUAACUUUAAAAAAACUAAAAAAUCCAAAGUUUGGCAGGAUAGAGAGAAAUUGAAACCCUUAUACAUUGUUGAUAGGACUAUAAAAUGCCACAGCCACUUUGGAAAACAGCUUGGCAGUUUCUUAACAGCAUACUCAUAUAUUUAAUCACAUGACCCAACAAUUUCAUUCCUGGUAUCUAACCAAGAGGAAUGAAAACAUGGGUCAUUUGUGUGCAAAUGUUUAUAGCAGCAUCAAUCAUAAUAGCCAAAAACUGUAAACAAUCCAAAUAUCUAUCAACUGGUGAAGGGAUAAGCUUAAAGUAGUAACCAAAAUAAAAUAAAUAAAAAUUAAUAAUUCAUGCAAUAAGGAUAAACCUAAGAAACAUAAUGCUAGUGAAGGAAGCUAGAUAUAAAAGACAUAUUUUUAUGAUUUUGUUUAUAUGUAAAAUGUCUAGAAAAGUCAAAAUUAUAUAGACAGAAAGCAGGUCGUCUCCUGGGACAGCAGAAGGGAACAGAAAUUGACUGCAAAAAAUGUUCUACAGCUGGACUGUGGUGAUGGUUGCACAUCUAAACAAACGGACUCAAAAUCAUCAUACUGAAUGCUUAGAAUGAGUGAAUUGUGUAGUAUGUAAACUAUACCUCAAUAAGGCCAUAAAAAAUAAAAAGGAUACAUUCUACAUAGAACCACAAAUUGUCUUAAAAUGAAACUGGGGUUAAAAUAAAUUGCCAUUUCUCCCAUUAUUUAAAAUAAUCAUCAUAAAGAUAAACCUAAUGUGUAACAAUUACUCUUUGGAGAAUGCAAAAGUAGUUUUAAGAGGACUAUUCACCUGUCUCAUAUACUGCUGGUGGAAGGGUAAAAUGGUACAACCGCUAAAGAGAACAGUUUGGGAGUUCCUUAAAAGUUAAAUAGAUAAUUACCAUAUAACCCAGAAAUUCUAACCCCUAAGGUAUAAAUAGAAAAGAAAUGAAAACAUGUCCAUGAAAAAAAUCUGUAUAUGCAUGCUCAUAACUGCAUUAUUCAUGAUAGCUAAAACCUGGAAACAAUCUAAGUGUCUAUCAGAUGAAUGGGCAAACAAAAUAUGAUAUACUCAAUACAAAAGAUAACAUCCAGCCAAUGAAAAGGGAUGAAGUACUGAUAAACACUACAACACAGAUGAACCUUGAAAAUUACUAUACUGAGUGAAAGAAGCCAGUCACAAAAAAAAGACAUGUACUGUAUGAUUCCAUUUAUGUGAAAUGUCCAGAACAGGCAAAUUCAAAAACAGAAAAUAGAUUCACAGCUGUCUAAGGACUGGGAGUGGGGAAGGAAAGGCAUGGGUAGUGACUGCUAAUGGGUGUGGGAUUCUUUGUAGGAUCAUAAAAAUGUUCAAAAAUUAGAUGGUGGUAUUGGUUGCAUACCUGCAUGACUAUAAAGAACAGUUGAAACUGAUGAAUUUUAUUGUAUGUGAACUGUAUCUCAAUAAAUUUAUUUAAAAAGAUGAUUAUUGUGCUCACUUCAACUACUAAAAUCAGAACAAUACAGAGAAGAUUAGAAUGGCUCCUGCAGAAGGAUGACACGCAAAUUCGUGAAACGCUCCAUAUUAAAAAAAAAGAGAUGGAUUAUUAACCUAGGAUUUAUUAAAAUAUCAAAAAUAAUUUCAGAGUAAAAUUCUGGAUUUCUAAUCUUGUUUAUUUGUUUUUCAGCAUUUCUAACAUUUACUUACACAAGUAUAUUCAUGUUUAGUUCAUUGUGGCUAAAUAUAAAUCACUUCUAAAAAAUCAACUGCAUUUUUACACACUAGUAACAAACAGAAAAUAACAUUUUAAAAACAUCCAACAAAAGGGGCACCUGGGUGGCUCAGUCCUUAAGCAUCUGCCUUUGGUUUAGGUCAUGAUCUCAUGGUCCUGGGAUUGAGCCCCACAGGGGCUCCCUGCUCAGAGUGGAGCCUGUUUCUCCCUCUCCCUGUGCCCUUCCACCCUGCUUGUGUUCUCUCUUAGUAUCUCUCUCUCUCAAAUAAAUAAAUAAAAUCUUAAAAAACAAAAACAAAAAACAAUCCAACAACAAAACGUACCUGAAGAAUAAAAGUUAACUUGAAAAUAUAUCAGAAGACAUUAAGUACAACCAAAAUAAAUGGGAGGACAUACCAUAUUCAUGAUUGAAAGACUCAGUAUCACAAAAUCACAAUUCUGUGAUACAUUUAAUGCAAUGCCAAUCAAAGUCCAAAAGGUUUUAUAAGUGGAGUAGCAAAAGCCCAAACAGACAAGCCAUCCAGCCAGAAACAGAAUAGAGUAGGGAACUUGCUAUAUCUACACUAAGAUUUAUUAUAAAGCUGUACUAAUGAAAUUAGUGUGCUUCCAGAAAAGAGACAUACUGACUGCUAGAGAAGAAACACACCUUCAUAUAGAACAAAAACAAUAUUUCACAAAGGUCAUAACAUUGCAGAUCACUGAAGGAAAGAGGAAUCAUUCAACAGUGCUGAACAAACUGGUUAUUUUUGGGGGGGAAGAAAUUGGAUCCCUCCUAUGUAAAAAUUCCAUAGGGAUUAAAAUUUUAAAUAGAGAAGACAAGUCUUUAAUUUUUUUUUUUAAGAUUUUAUGUAUUUAUUCAUUAGAGGCUCAGAGAGAGAGAGAGAGAGAGGCAGAGACACAGGCAGAGGGAGAAGCAGGCUCCCUGUGGGGAGCCUGAUGCAGAACUGAAUUCCAGAAACCUUGGAUCAUGACUUGAGCUGAAGGCAGAGACACUCAACCACUGAGCCACCCAAGUACUCCAAGUCUUUAAUAUUUUUAAAUAAAACUUAAAGGACUAUCAUUAUGAACGGAGUAUGGAAGGUUUAAAACUUAAAACACAGAAAGGGCUAACUAUAAAUAUAUGAAUAAUAAAUUCAACUACCUUAUCAUUAAAAACUUCCACUCAUCAACAAAUACAACAAGAAAAAAUAAAGAAGAUUAAAUACAAUACCACCAAGCACAUUGCCAAAAACAAAAACAAAAACAAAAAACGAAAAAACCACUACAGUAUCCAGAAUGUACGCGUGUGUGUAUAUCCUUUAACAUUUUAUUUAAAAAUAGGAAAAGCGUACGGGUGCCUGGGUAGUCAUUUGGUUAAGCAUCCAACUCUUAACUUCAGCUCAGGUCAUAAUCUCAGGGUCAGGAGAUCGAGCCCUGUGUAGGACUCCAUGCUCAGUGGGGAGUUUGCUUCAGAUAUUCUUCCUCUCAGGCUGCUCCCUCUGCUCACACAUACACACUCUCACUCUCUAAAAUAAAUAAAUAAAAUCUUUAAAUAAAAAUAAAAAUAGGCAAAAUACAAAAAAGUAUCCCUCAUGAAGGGUAUCAGGGUCUGAGCAGGAUGAGGCAGGCACUCAAGCUGGAAAGGAGGGAACAGUGUGACCUGGGAGUCAGAGCCCAA